GUGCUCGCUUCAGCAGCACAUAUACUAAA
Molecule: small nuclear RNA, 29 nt
Filed under: Cervus elaphus hippelaphus
Lineage: Eukaryota; Metazoa; Chordata; Mammalia; Artiodactyla; Cervidae
Source: RNAcentral